RNAcentral lists this ribosomal RNA (639 nucleotides) under Bacillus sp. (in: firmicutes). RNAcentral describes it as "bacterial SSU rRNA". It matches the Rfam family "Bacterial small subunit ribosomal RNA", at positions 243 to 870 of the family's 1533-position model. Lineage: Bacteria; Bacillati; Bacillota; Bacilli; Caryophanales; Bacillaceae. The record is from RNAcentral.
AGCUAGUUGGUGAGGUAACGGCUCACCAAGGCAACGAUGCGUAGCCGACCUGAGAGGGUGAUCGGCCACACUGGGACUGAGACACGGCCCAGACUCCUACGGGAGGCAGCAGUAGGGAAUCUUCCGCAAUGGACGAAAGUCUGACGGAGCAACGCCGCGUGAGUGAUGAAGGUUUUCGGGUCGUAAAACUCUGUUGUUAGGGAAGAACAAGUACCAUUUGAAUAGGGCGGUACCUUGACGGUACCUAACCAGAAAGCCACGGCUAACUACGUGCCAGCAGCCGCGGUAAUACGUAGGUGGCAAGCGUUGUCCGGAAUUAUUGGGCGUAAAGCGCGCGCAGGCGGUUUCUUAAGUCUGAUGUGAAAGCCCCCGGCUCAACCGGGGAGGGUCAUUGGAAACUGGGGAACUUGAGUGCAGAAGAGGAGAGUGGAAUUCCACGUGUAGCGGUGAAAUGCGUAGAGAUGUGGAGGAACACCAGUGGCGAAGGCGACUCUCUGGUCUGUAACUGACGCUGAGGCGCGAAAGCGUGGGGAGCGAACAGGAUUAGAUACCCUGGUAGUCCACGCCGUAAACGAUGAGUGCAUAAGUGUUAGAGGGUUUCCGCCCUUUAGUUGCUGCAGCAAACGCAUUAAGCACUAA